CUACGGGAGGCAGCAGUGGGGAAUAUUGCGCAAUAGACGAAAGUCUGACGCAGCGACGCCGCGUGUGGGAUGACGGUCUUCGGAUUGUAAACCACUGUCGGGAGGGACGAAUACGCCGCAAGGCGGGUGACGGUACCUCCAAAGGAAGCACCGGCUAACUCCGUGCCAGCAGCCGCGGUAAUACGGAGGGUGCGAGCGUUGUCCGGAAUCACUGGGCGUAAAGGGCGCGUAGGCGGCCUGAUAAGUAGGGGGUGAAAUCCUGCGGCUUAACCGCAGGGCUGCCUUCUAAACUGUCAGGCUGGAGCACAGUAGAGGCAGGUGGAAUUCCCGGUGUAGCGGUGGAAUGCGUAGAGAUCGGGAAGAACAUCAGUGGCGAAGGCGGCCUGCUGGGCUGUUGCUGACGCUGAGGCGCGACAGCGUGGGGAGCAAACAGGAUUAGAUACCCUGGUAGUCCACGCCGUAAACGAUGGGCACUAGGCGUCGGGGGGAGCGACCCUCCCGGUGCCGUCGCUAACGCAGUAAGUGCCCCGCCUGGGGAGUACGGCCGCAAGGCUGAAACUCAAAGGAAUUGACGGA
Molecule: ribosomal RNA, 576 nt
Filed under: uncultured Gemmatimonadota bacterium
Lineage: Bacteria; Pseudomonadati; Gemmatimonadota
Description: bacterial SSU rRNA
Rfam family: Bacterial small subunit ribosomal RNA
Source: RNAcentral